Molecule: ribosomal RNA, 305 nt
Filed under: uncultured bacterium
Lineage: Bacteria
Description: bacterial SSU rRNA
Rfam family: Bacterial small subunit ribosomal RNA
Source: RNAcentral
CCUACGGGAGGCAGCAGUGAGGAAUAUUGGUCAAUGGGCGGAAGCCUGAACCAGCCAAGUCGCGUGAGGGAAGAAGGCCCUGCGGGUCGCAGACCUCUUUGGACGGGGAGCAAGGCCGCCGACGUGUCGGCGGAAGGAGAGUACCCGUAGAACAAGCAUCGGCUAACUCCGUGCCAGCAGCCGCGGUAAUACGGAGGAUUCAAGCGUUAUCCGGAUUUAUUGGGUUUAAAGGGUGCGUAGGCGGUUCGAUAAGUUAGAGGUGAAAUCCCGGGGCUCAACUCCGGCACUGCCUCUGAUACUGUCUG